Molecule: unclassified non-coding RNA, 392 nt
Filed under: Hevea brasiliensis (rubber tree)
Lineage: Eukaryota; Viridiplantae; Streptophyta; Magnoliopsida; Malpighiales; Euphorbiaceae
Source: RNAcentral
UCACACUCGGCUUAACUCAUAUUGCAGACCCAAGAGGCAAGACACUUCGCACAUGGACAUAACGGCAAGAAAAGCGCUAAAUACAUACAUCGGAAAUUCGUAUGAUUUGUAGACAUGAAUAAAAAAGGACCUUGACAUUCACAGAUAUGAGACAAAAUAACACAGAUAUGAAAAUUUUGAGGACUGAAAAGAACAAAUCUUCUGAUAACUAAGAUGAUCCGGUUUGUUCCAGUAAACACAUUAAAAAUGAAGAGUAAAGGAAAUACCAAAAUAAGAUUAAACCAUUACAAAUUUUAAUUCGCGCAUUUGACCGAGGAUGGUAAGGACACACAAGAACCAAAGAACUCUAACAACACAAACCCAGAUAUCAUACUUAGUCAAAACGAAGUAAG